This 207-nucleotide ribosomal RNA is filed under the name uncultured bacterium. RNAcentral describes it as "partial 16S ribosomal RNA". It matches the Rfam family "Bacterial small subunit ribosomal RNA", at positions 568 to 774 of the family's 1533-position model. The record is from RNAcentral.
UGCGUAGGCGGCGAAUUAAGUUGGAUGUGAAAUCCCCGGGCUUAACCUGGGUGGUGCAUCCAAAACUGAUUAGCUAGAGUGCAGGAGAGGGAAGCGGAAUUCCUAGUGUAGCGGUGAAAUGCGUAGAUAUUAGGAGGAACACCAGUGGCGAAGGCGGCUUUCUGGACUGUAACUGACGCUGAGGCACGAAAGCGUGGGGAGCAAACA